UACGGAGGGUGCAAGCGUUAUCCGGAAUCAUUGGGUUUAAAGGGUCCGCAGGCGGAAGUAUAAGUCAGUGGUGAAAGCCUACAGCUCAACUGUAGAACUGCCAUUGAUACUGUAUUUCUUGAAUUUGGUCGAAGUGGGCGGAAUAUGACAUGUAGCGGUGAAAUGCUUAGAUAUGUCAUAGAACACCGAUAGCGAAGGCAGCUCACUAGUCCAGUAUUGACGCUCAUGGACGAAAGCGUGGGGAGCAAACAGG
Molecule: ribosomal RNA, 253 nt
Filed under: uncultured bacterium
Lineage: Bacteria
Description: partial 16S ribosomal RNA
Rfam family: Bacterial small subunit ribosomal RNA
Source: RNAcentral